AUGAACGCUGGCUACAGGCUUAACACAUGCAAGUCGAGGGGCAGCGGUAUCGAAAGCUUGCUUUCGGUAGCCGGCGACCGGCGCACGGGUGAGUAACGCGUAUCGAACCUGCCUCAUACUCGGGAAUAGCCUUGCGAAAGUAAGAUUAAUGCCCGGUGUUUUCAGAGUCCCGCAUGAGGCUUUGAACAAAGAUUUAUCGGUAUGAGAUGGCGAUGCGUCCCAUUAGCUUGUUGGCGGGGUAACGGCCCACCAAGGCAUCGAUGGGUAGGGGUUCUGAGAGGAAGGUCCCCCACAUUGGAACUGAGACACGGUCCAAACUCCUACGGGAGGCAGCAGUGAGGAAUAUUGGUCAAUGGGCGGAAGCCUGAACCAGCCAAGUAGCGUGCAGGAAGACGGCCCUCCGGGUUGUAAACUGCUUUUAGUUGGGAAUAAAACGGGGCUCGUGAGCCCCCUUGCAUGUACCAUCAGAAAAAGGACCGGCUAAUUCCGUG
Molecule: ribosomal RNA, 491 nt
Filed under: uncultured bacterium
Lineage: Bacteria
Description: partial 16S ribosomal RNA
Rfam family: Bacterial small subunit ribosomal RNA
Source: RNAcentral